Hemicordylus capensis (graceful crag lizard) is the source of this 394-nucleotide long non-coding RNA. RefSeq lists it as uncharacterized. Lineage: Eukaryota; Metazoa; Chordata; Lepidosauria; Squamata; Cordylidae. The record is from RefSeq and is a predicted model, not a curated record. The transcript has 2 exons.
GGGAGAAGGAGAUCCGCCUCGAUCAAAUCUUUGCUCUAGAGGUUAAUGGAGGAGUUGCUCCUCAUGCUUUCCCUCUGUCUGCACCCCUGAGGGUCACUUCACCCAUUUGUUGAGAUGGGCAGCUGAGAAUGUAACAUGGAAACAGAGAGUGCGGAGCGGCUAUAGCUUGCUGGCAGGUGUCUGGUAGCCAGCCUGGAUUUCCAGCCAUGGAUUGCAUGGGAUGGCUCUCGAAGGACAUUUAUUUCUUAUGAGAAAACUGCCUGCACAUCUCCCCUUUAUAUACCUGACCUGUGAGUAAAAGGGCUAGAGAUUUGGGCAAAGUUAAAUGUUUUGUAGUCUGUUGCUUUCCAUGUGCGUAACUCUUAUCAGUUGAAAUAAAUGGGAAUUAAUUGUU